GAAUAUUAACCUAAGUUGGAGGUCAUGAUCCUCUCCCCAGGGCUUGUUGCAGCCUUUAGAAUAUUGUUCAGAUGAACUAAACACACCAGCCUUCAUUUGAUCAAUACUCAUGACAUUGGGGACCAAUAACUUCAAUACCUCACUACGCAAAGAACUUAAUUCUGGCUCUGGUAUAUGGGGUAUUUCCUCGGAUGUGCUGAUUCGGUUAUAAUCAAGGUCUAAAACAACUACACCAUCCAUUGCAAG
RNAcentral lists this unclassified non-coding RNA (246 nucleotides) under Hevea brasiliensis (rubber tree). The record is from RNAcentral. Lineage: Eukaryota; Viridiplantae; Streptophyta; Magnoliopsida; Malpighiales; Euphorbiaceae.